This 504-nucleotide ribosomal RNA is filed under the name uncultured bacterium. Its description in RNAcentral is "partial 16S ribosomal RNA". It matches the Rfam family "Bacterial small subunit ribosomal RNA", at positions 30 to 523 of the family's 1533-position model. The record is from RNAcentral.
AUUGAACGCUGGCGGCAGGCCUAACACAUGCAAGUCGAACGGUAGCACAGAGAGCUUGCUCUCGGGUGACGAGUGGCGGACGGGUGAGUAAUGUCUGGGAAACUGCCCGACGGAGGGGGAUAACUACUGGAAACGGUAGCUAAUACCGCAUAACGUCGCAAGACCAAAGUGGGGGACCUUCGGGCCUCACACCAUCGGAUGUGCCCAGAUUGGAUUAGCUAGUAGGUGGGGUAAUGGCUCACCUAGGCGACGAUCCCUAGCUGGUCUGAGAGGAUGACCAGCCACACUGGAACUGAGACACGGUCCAGGCUCCUACGGGAGGCAGCAGUGGGGAAUAUUGCACAAUGGGCGCAAGCCUGAUGCAGCCAUGCCGCGUGUAUGAAGAAGGCCUUCGGGUUGUAAAGUACUUUCAGCGGGGAGGAAGGCGGUGAAGUUAAUAGCUUCACCGAUUGACGUUACCCGCAGAAGAAGCACCGGCUAACUCCGUGCCAGCCGCCGCCGUAA